GUCAUCACAGAGCUCCUCCUCCGGAACGCCUGGCUCUCGCGGCUGGGACCAGGUCCGGCCUGUUACAUUGGUGGGAUGGCGGCAGAAGAGCAGCCCCUUCUGGGCCGGGACCGAGGCAGUGGCCAGGUCCACUCCGGUGCUGCAGCCGAUCAGGAGCUCUGCAUAGACCAGGCUGUGGUCUUCAUUGAAGACGCCAUAAAGUACCGCUCCAUCUACCACCGCAUGGAUGCUGGUUCAUUGUGGCUUUACCGCUGGUAUUACUCGAACGUCUGCCAACGUGUGCUGGGCUUCAUCAUUUUCCUGAUCCUGAUCUUGGCUUUUGUGGAGGUCCCAUCUUCCUUCACAAAGACUGCAGAUGUGCGCUACCGUUCCCAGCCCUGGCAGCCGCCCUGUGGCCUGACCGAGACGAUCGAGGCGUUCUGCUUGCUUGCCUUCCUGGUUGACCUCUCUGUGAAGGGCUACUUGGUUGGGCAGGCCCAGUUGCAGCAGAACCUGUGGCUGCUGGCCUACUUUAUGGUGCUGGUUGUGUCUGUGGUGGACUGGAUCGUUUCGCUGAGCCUUGCUUGUGAGGAGCCCCUGCGGAUGCGCCGGCUGCUCCGCCCCUUCUUCCUGCUGCAGAAUUCCUCCAUGAUGAAGAAGACCCUGAAGUGUAUACGGUGGUCGCUACCAGAAAUGGCCAGUGUCGGGCUGCUGCUGGCCAUCCACCUGUGUCUCUUCACCAUCAUUGGGAUGCUGCUGUUCACCAUUGGUGAGAAGGAUGAAGCACAGGACCAGGAGAGGCUGGCCUACUUCCGGAACCUUCCAGAAGCACUGACCUCACUCCUAGUGCUGCUGACGACUUCCAACAACCCUGAUGUGAUGAUCCCUGCGUAUACUCAGAACCGGGCCUUUGCUCUCUUCUUCAUAGUCUUCACCUUGAUAGGAAGCUUGUUUCUGAUGAACCUGCUGACAGCCAUCAUCUAUAAUCAGUUCCGUGGCUACCUAAUGAAAUCUCUACAGACCUCACUGUUCCGGCGGCGACUGGGGGCCCGUGCAGCCUACGAAGUCCUCGCCUCCAGGGCCGGGCCAGCUGGAACCACCCCUGAGUUCCCCUGCUGGCCGGCGCCAGACUGGAUAUUCCACCGGGAGCUGUAUGGGCUACCAAGCCCUCAGUGCUUCCAUUAUCCUGUUUGUUCUUUCCUGUUAGCCCACUUGUGUCUCAGAGUUGGGGUGAAUCCUGAGACCUUCCUGCCAGUGCUUCAGAAAACGCAGCUGAACAAAACCCACAAACAAGCCAUUAUGCAGAAGGUGCAGUCCUAUGAAGGCCGCCCAAUGCUGGCUGAUGAGUUCCAGAAACUCUUCGAUGAGGUUGACAAAGGUUUGGCCAAAGAGCGCCCGCUGAAGCCCCAAUACCAGUCUCCAUUUCUGCAGACUGCCCAGUUCAUCUUUAGCCACCACUACUUCGACUACCUGGGGAACCUCGUCGCUCUGGGAAACCUCUUGUCUAUUUGUGUGUUCCUGGUGCUGGACUCAGACCUGCUGCCUGGGGAACGUGAUGACUUUGUCCUGGGGGCUCUGAGCUUUGCCUCUAAGAAGAAAACGAUCUCUUCUCUGAUAUCAACAUGUUCUGUCAAGUUCCUUGGGAAUUGAGGCUUUUCACUUGGAAUUUUGAGCAUUCUGUCAGUCCUCAGAUUCUUGACUACAUCUUCAUCUUGUACUACCUGCUGGAGCUGCUGUUUAAGGUGUUCGCGCUGGGCCUGCCAGGCUACCUGUCCUACCAUAGCAAUGUGUUUGAUGGCCUCCUCACCAUCAUCCUGCUGGUUUCGGAGAUUUGCACCCUGGCUGUAUACCGAUUGCCGCACUCAGGAUGGAAGCCAGAGCAGUAUGGCCCACUGUCGCUCUGGGACAUGACACGACUGAUGAACACACUGAUUGUGUUUCGCUUCCUGCGCAUCAUCCCCAACAUAAAGCCAAUGGCUGAGGUAGCCAACACCAUCCUGGGCCUAAUCCCUAACUUGAGGGCAUUUGGUGGGAUCCUGGUGGUGGCAUACUAUGUGUUUGCCAUGAUCGGGAUCAACCUGUUCCGAGGUGUCAUCGUGCCUCCUGGAAACAGCAGCCUGGUUCCCGACAACAACUCAGCUGUAUGUGGAAGCUUUGAGCAGCUAGGUUACUGGCCCAACAACUUUGACGACUUUGCUGCUGCUUUGAUCACACUGUGGAACGUGAUGGUGGUGAACAAUUGGCAGGUGAUCCUGGAAGCCUAUAAGCGCUACGCAGGCCCGUGGUCAAUGGUGUAUUUUGUGCUAUGGUGGCUGGUGUCCUCUGUUAUCUGGAUCAACCUGUUUCUGGCUCUUCUUCUGGAGAACUUUCUCCACAGAUGGGACCCUCAAGGUCAUAAGCAGCUCCUUGUUGGGACCAAGCAGAUGUCUGUGGAGCUCAUGUUCAGGGAUAUCCUAGAAGAGCCCAAGGAGGAGGAACUGAUGGAGAAGCUACACAAACACCCACACUUGCAUCUGUGCAGGUGACAUCAGAGUGGCUUCCUUGCUGGGGUGACAGGACAGAGAUGCUGGCCUGGGCCCAUGCUGUGGAGGAAGCAACUGGUCGAGGCAGAGCAAGAAAAGAUGGUGCCUGGGUCAGACCACUCAGAGACAGACAGAGGCUGGGACAAGGACUCAUCCUCUGUGGUUGCUCAGCAGUAGCCAAGGUGUAGCUUUGGCAGACCAUUAGUCGGCACCACAGGGCCACAUUCCUCCAUUUGUUGCUCCCCCAAGCUGUCUUGGUGAGACUUGCUAAGGAGAGAGAGUGACUUCCAAGGGUCCUUCCUCAAAGCCAGGAAGCAAGAAGGCCUCAGCUCUCCUUGAUACCCACAAACUUAUCUGUGCCUUCAGCCUCAGUGGCAUUUGUGAACCCAAGCCUGUACAGGACAGUAACUGGCAGGUCUCCAGGACAUUGGGGUUGGUGUCAUGUGUAGAGAAUGUCACCUCUUUGUUUCAGUGCUGUGGAUGUGAUGGGGGUGUCCCGGGGGUGGGGAGGGUGAGGUCACAAUGUCAAUCAUUUUCUGUUUUAUAAAGAAUGAGAUCAUUCUUACUCUGACCUCUUUCUACUUCAGGGUGGUUGGUUGUGGGUUAUAUAGGUUGUGGGCUACACAAGAGCUCCAGGUUGUGAGGUGUGAGCUCCCACUUGUGAUGAGAAACAUCCCUUAGUAACACGCACUUGUGAGCCCAAGGUGGCCCUGUGUUGUUUGUCCUCAAGGUUUGUGGACAGCAGAGGGAGCUGGGGGAGGAAGGUGGGAGAGGGAUCAACUCAGAGUACAAGGAGAAGGGAUCGACUCGGCUCUGAGGCAGACCGACCUCUGGAUUUCUCGUUUCAGAUGCAACUCUGGGGGUUGGUGGUGGAGUUUCUUGGGGACCUUUCAAGCUGUGGGCUGGCUCCAAGUGACGUCUGCCUUGGGCACUGACACCGGAUGGGGGCCUGGGACUUACUCGUUUGUAGGCUACGGGUCCCUGGGUGUCUCCGUGGUCUGGGAGAGGAACCCCAGGGAGUGUGACUGAAGGAGCUUAGGGAAGCACAGUGCUCAGGCUGGAGUGCAGGAGAGGUGCCUGCUCCCUCCUAGGGAGUCUUAGGCUCCCAGCACCCUAGGAAUGGCUUAGGAGACCUAGUCAUUUCCCUGACACCCUCAGUGUAGAGCCUUUAGGACUCCUGAUGACAGUCUGGGACCUGCUCCUCAGCAAGCUGCCUUCCUGGAGGGUGGAUUGGAGUCCACACCACUGGAGCCCAGUCAUGAGCUGGGCCAGUUUCUUAUGUGAUGGCUGGACCUGGCAUGGAAAAGCGCUGUCUCUGGUCCCCGACCCCAACUGCUAAGCCUUGAGCGCCACCUACUGAUGAGACGGGCUCUGCUGAGCUAUCCAUGCUCAGAGGCCUCUGAGCCACCCCAGAAGCGGCCCCUGGGUUUUCCAGGCCUGUUCACAUGUUUUAAGUCCCCGGUUCUCACCUCAGAGUGAGCCUGACCUGGUGCUUGUUAGGUGGAUGUCAGUGACCUGGUUCUGCCUCUGCUGUCCAGGGGCUGCCCAGUCCACCCAGAAUCACCCACCCUAGCUUUUGUGCAGAAAUGCACCCUGUGGGUCAUUUUGAUAAGAGUGAGGUGGGUGGAGGGAGUUGAUUUCCACUCAGAUGGCCCUGCCCUCAGUAAGGGUAGGUGGGGUGCUUAUCACUGGAGUGUGUGGAGGGAGCGGAGGGACCAGAGCAGUGUUCUAGGGACCGCCACAACUCACCACCCUGUCCAUUUCAAAUGCUGUGAGUCACUAGUGGCCCUGGUGGGGAAAACCUAUUUGAGGAGUGUGGGCUUGUGCUUCUCAGGGGCCUUCAUGGCUGCUCUGAGGGUUUCCCCUGUUUUCUUAGUACUGGGUACUUGGUACUGGAUACAAAAGCUAGGUAGCCUGCAGCGCCCAGUGAAGAAUGGAGCUGAUGUCGCACACAACCCUGCUGGCUGUCAGAACAAAAGGUGGGUGUGGGAGACCACUGAGGCUGAGGAGCCUGGUGCUGGGGUCAGCAGGAGGUGUGUACAAAGACAGCCGGUGUUGUUGGGGGGGGGGAGGCUGGGCCUGCCGGAGCAACAGCGAGCUCUUAGUGAAGUGAGGCACCCUUGGCCUGAACACUGAGCUUGGGCUGCCCACACAUCAGUGGAGUACUGGGCUGGAGUUUUUAGACGUGUUGAGUGCACGCUGGGAGCUGACAAGGGGACCUGAGACAUGGAGCUUGCAUCUACCUGGAGAUCUUAGCCUGCCCCACGAGUGCUUACAACCUGAACACUGAAAAUGGUUAUUUUCUACACCAGACACCUUGAACAGAAGCUGCCACCAGGUGCUCCUGAAAGUCCCUGACACCCAAUCCCAGGCCAUAUUGGAAGCAUUGCCUAGACUUGUGUGGCUCUGCCUCCCUGUCUUUCGGGACCCAUCCAGGCCAGACCUGGGUCUUGCUAGGUCCUUUGAAGAGCAGCCAGUGUUCUUAACUGUCGACCAUCUCUCCAGCCUGCUUCUUCCAGGUUCAAUCCUACACAGCGGACUUUCUGGCUUCCUCUUUCUCCCAAUGAUUGCCAGUCUAGUUAUCCAGUGACCACCAGCUACUGGUUCCUGUUACUGCCCACCCCACUGGCAGAGCUAUCCCACACUGCCCUUGGCUCAAGUCGCACACUGAGGGCUCACAGUAGCCUCCAACAGUCUUGAGAGCCCUUACUUGUCGAGGUCAGCAGUCUUCAUCCUUGGAGUUGCAUAUCAGAUAUCCUGCAUAUCAGAUAUUUACAUUAUGAUUCAUAAUAGUAGCAAAAAUAGUUAUGAGGUAGCAACAAAAUUAAUUUUGUGGUGUGUGUGUGUGUGUGGGUGGGUGUCACCACAAUGUGAGGAAUGUCAUUAGAGAAGUUGACAUUCCAGCUCUUUGUCUGGCCAGAAACACCAACACUAUGACAGCGAGGCUCCGGCUGCUGUGUUGCUGUAAGAUUACAUGUAAAUCACAGAUGGGUGUAGGGCAUACACCUUUAAUCCCAGUGUUCAGGAGGCAGAGACAGCUGGACCUCUCUGUGUUGCCAUCCUGGUCUACAUACUAAGUUCUAGGACAUCCUGGGCUACAGAGUGCGAUUCCAUCUCAAUCAGAACAAGCCCCACCUUGGGAGAAGAGCUAGACUUGUAUGUUUUCUCACUUUGUUCUUAAAUCUUUGCUGUUGUGUCAUUUGAUAUGGGCUCUCUAUGGAGCUUCUGGCAGCCCCCUCCCUGAGUACCCCACCACAGAGAUCAAGGGUGAGCCUCCCUCCACCUCUGGUCUGAGUUCCCAGAGAGCUAGUGAUCAUCCAUCAUAACUGCGUGAACAGUGUAGUUGCCCUCUGACUGGUGCUCAGCCAGGGGUUUGACUCCUGAUCAUAACUAUUUGAUCAUAAUGAUUUGAUCAUAACUAUUUGAAGACUGGGAAUGUGCCCAGGUCUUAUUGAAGCUCUGUGAUGUGUGGAAGUAGCAUUAUGGUAAUCUGCAGUUGUCAUCCAGAUGUGGUCUAAAGUGUCACUUCACGUGGCUGGUGGUGUCUUUGGGUGGGGCCAUCCUGGAGUCAUACCCUAGGGCUACUGAGAUGCCUGUAACUCUGGGGCCCACAAGAGAACCCCUGUCCAGGUGCCAUAGGAGGUGACCAAAAGGGGUAAUCAUUUCGUGGGGAGACAAGGAUGGAGAGAAAGGGGUGUGGGUGCCUCGUGUUCUGGGCCUGGUGCAUGUUCAUGUUUGACUUUCUUACAUGUGCUGUAUUAUGUGGAACAUUAACAUGACAGAAGGUGGGUCACA
Molecule: RNA transcript, 6296 nt
Organism: Mus musculus (house mouse)
Lineage: Eukaryota; Metazoa; Chordata; Mammalia; Rodentia; Muridae
Gene: Tpcn2
Gene name: two pore segment channel 2
Exons: 27
Source: RefSeq, marked validated